Molecule: long non-coding RNA, 586 nt
Filed under: Homo sapiens (human)
Lineage: Eukaryota; Metazoa; Chordata; Mammalia; Primates; Hominidae
Description: HSALNT0296644
Source: RNAcentral
UUCGAGGUAGGAGUCGACUCCUGUGAGGUAUGGUGCUGGGUGCAGAUGCAGUGUGGCUCUGGAUAGCACCUUAUGGACAGUUGUGUCCCCAAGGAAGGAUGAGAAUAGCUACUGAAGUCCUAAAGAGCAAGCCUAACUCAAGCCAUUGGCACAGGCAUUAGACAGAAAGCUGGAAGUUGAAAUGGUGGAGUCCAACUUGCCUGGACCAGCUUAAUGGUUCUGCUCCUGGUAACGUUUUUAUCCAUGGAUGACUUGCUUGGGUAAGGACAUGAAGACAGUUCCUGUCAUACCUUUUAAAGGUAUGGAGAGUCGGCUUGACUACACUGUGUGGAGCAAGUUUUAAAGAAGCAAAGGACUCAGAAUUCAUGAUUGAAGAAAUGCAGGCAGACCUGUUAUCCUAAACUAGGGUUUUUAAUGACCACAACAAGCAAGCAUGCAGCUUACUGCUUGAAAGGGUCUUGCCUCACCCAAGCUAGAGUGCAGUGGCCUUUGAAGCUUACUACAGCCUCAAACUUCUGGGCUCAAGUGAUCCUCAGCCUCCCAGUGGUCUUUGUAGACUGCCUGAUGGAGUCUCAUGGCACAAGAA